UGCUUUCGGUUCAGCCAAUAAAUGUGCGGAACCGGUGGCAGGCAGAGGUUUACAUAUUUUUCAUACAGCCUUGGGAUAAAACAGGUAAUUUUUGGCUUACAUGUGUAUUUGUUUUGGGAGAGUGUUGUAGUUUUUGUGUAUUUGUAGCAUGAACGCGAGUAUGAAGCAUUUAAGAUUCUAGACUACAUCACUUUUCCCUCCCCAAGC
This 207-nucleotide long non-coding RNA is filed under the name Trifolium pratense (red clover). RNAcentral describes it as "long non-coding RNA (TPRA_LNC013177)". The record is from RNAcentral. Lineage: Eukaryota; Viridiplantae; Streptophyta; Magnoliopsida; Fabales; Fabaceae.